RNAcentral lists this transfer RNA (77 nucleotides) under secondary endosymbiont of Trabutina mannipara. RNAcentral's name for it is "tRNA-Pro". It matches the Rfam family "tRNA". From Rfam's summary of the family: Transfer RNA (tRNA) molecules are approximately 80 nucleotides in length. Their secondary structure includes four short double-helical elements and three loops (D, anti-codon, and T loops). Further hydrogen bonds mediate the characteristic L-shaped molecular structure. tRNAs have two regions of fundamental functional importance: the anti-codon, which is responsible for specific mRNA codon recognition, and the 3' end, to which the tRNAs corresponding amino acid is attached (by aminoacyl-tRNA synthetases). tRNAs cope with the degeneracy of the genetic code in two manners: having more than one tRNA (with a specific anti-codon) for a particular amino acid; and 'wobble' base-pairing, i.e. permitting non-standard base-pairing at the 3rd anti-codon position. The record is from RNAcentral. Lineage: Bacteria; Pseudomonadati; Pseudomonadota; Gammaproteobacteria; Enterobacterales; Enterobacteriaceae.
CGGCGAGUAGCGCAGCUUGGUAGCGCAACUGGUUUGGGAUCAGUAGGUCAGAGGUUCGAAUCCUCUCUCGCCGACCA